GCCAGGUGUGGUGGCGCACGCCUGUAAUCUCAGCGACUUGGGAGGCUGAGACAGGAGGAUCGUGAGUUCAAAGACAGCCUCAGCAAUGAUGAGGGGAUAAGCAACUCAGUGAGAUCCUGUCUCUA
This 125-nucleotide small RNA is filed under the name Marmota monax (woodchuck). Lineage: Eukaryota; Metazoa; Chordata; Mammalia; Rodentia; Sciuridae. The record is from RNAcentral.